Molecule: ribosomal RNA, 478 nt
Filed under: uncultured bacterium
Lineage: Bacteria
Description: partial 16S ribosomal RNA
Rfam family: Bacterial small subunit ribosomal RNA
Source: RNAcentral
GAUGAACGCUGGCGGCGUGCUUAACACAUGCAAGUCGAACGAGAAAUGGAGACGGAAACCUUCGGGCGGAAGGCUUCAUUUCGAGUGGCGGACGGGUGAGUAACGCGUGGGUAACCUGCCUCAUACAGGGGGAUAACAGUUGGAAACGACUGUUAAUACCGCAUAAGACCACAGCACCGCAUGGUGCGGGGGUAAAAACUCCGGUGGUAUGAGAUGGACCCGCGUUCGAUUAGCCAGUUGGCGGGGUAACGGCCCACCAAAGCGACGAUCGAUAGCCGAUCUGAGAGGAUGACCGGCCACAUUGGGACUGAGACACGGCCCAAACUCCUACGGGAGGCAGCAGUGGGGAAUAUUGCACAAUGGGGGAAACCCUGAUGCAGCGACGACGCGUGAGUGAAGAAGUACUUCGGUAUGUAAAGCUCUAUCAGCAGGGAAGAAAAUGACGGUACCUGAGUAAGAAGCCCCGGCUAACUACGUG